This 442-nucleotide ribosomal RNA is filed under the name uncultured bacterium. RNAcentral describes it as "partial 16S ribosomal RNA". It matches the Rfam family "Bacterial small subunit ribosomal RNA", at positions 338 to 795 of the family's 1533-position model. The record is from RNAcentral.
CCUACGGGUGGCAGCAGUGGGGAAUAUUGGGCAAUGGGCGCAAGCCUGACCCAGCAACGCCGCGUGAAGGAAGAAGGCUUUCGGGUUGUAAACUUCUUUUAGCAGGGAAGAGUAGAAGACGGUACCUGACGAAUAAGCCACGGCUAACUACGUGCCAGCAGCCGCGGUAAUACGUAGGUGGCAAGCGUUGUCCGGAUUUACUGGGUGUAAAGGGCGUGUAGCCGGGUUGACAAGUCAGAUGUGAAAUCCUGCGGCUUAACCGCAGAACUGCAUUUGAAACUGUUGAUCUUGAGUACUGGAGAGGCAGACGGAAUUCCUAGUGUAGCGGUGAAAUGCGUAGAUAUUAGGAGGAACACCAGUGGCGAAGGCGGUCUGCUGGACAGCAACUGACGGUGAGGCGCGAAAGCGUGGGGAGCAAACAGGAUUAGAUACCCCAGUAGUA